RNAcentral lists this ribosomal RNA (253 nucleotides) under uncultured bacterium. RNAcentral's name for it is "partial 16S ribosomal RNA". It matches the Rfam family "Bacterial small subunit ribosomal RNA", at positions 524 to 776 of the family's 1533-position model. The record is from RNAcentral.
UACGGAGGGGGUUAGCGUUGUUCGGAAUUACUGGGCGUAAAGCGCACGUAGGCGGAUUGGAAAGUUGGGGGUGAAAUCCCGGGGCUCAACCCCGGAACUGCCUCCAAAACUAACUCACUAGAGUACGAUAGAGGGAGGUAGAAUUCAUAGUGUAGCGGUGGAAUGCGUAGAUAUUAUGAAGAAUACCAGUGGCGAAGGCGGCUCACUGGCUCGAUACUGACGCUGAGGUGCGAAAGUGUGGGGAGCAAACAGG